AACACCAGAUGGCAUGAGACGACCCUGCCUAGGGAAGGAAAAUUCUAGAGUCCCUUUGGCAGACUAGCCCCAAGGCAUGUUUCAAGAUCUUCCCACCUCAGAAUUGUCUUAUGUCUCCUCUAUGUGAAAGACACUGGGCCUUUUGGAGACACUUUAUUAAAAGAUAGGUUAUCAGGGGCAGCUGGGUGGUUCAGUCAGUUAAGUGUCAGAUUCUUGAUUUUGGCUCAGGUCAUGACCUCAAGGUUCAUGGGAUUGAGCCUGAAGCCUGCUUGGGAUUCUCUCUCUCCAUCUCUCCCUCUGCCCCUCCCCUGAUCAUUCUCUCUCUCUCUCAAAAUAAAUAAAUGAACAUUAAAAAAAAAAAAAAGACAAGUUUUGAGGAGGUUAGUGAAUAGAGCCAACUUGACAGACCUUUCUGGAAAUGAUAUGUAGUAAAAAGGGCAGGAUUUGGAGCCAGUCAGAUCUGAAUUUGAAUCCUUAUAACCAGCCACGCACCGACUACUGACAUUUCUUCUAGCAUUCUUAAAAUGUUAAGCAAAAUUAAAAAUAAUUUCUCAUGAGGUAACUUCUUACCAACAUCAGUUUUAUUGGGGUUUAUAAACUGCUCAAUCAUGAGCCUUUGCACUUUCUUGCGUUUGCCACUUUGGUUCGAUGAUUAGAUCUGGAAACACCGACAAGGUUGUUAAAACACAGAUAGGCUGGCUUCAAAACACUAAAAUUCAAUGACUAUGCAAGUCAUAAUCUGCCAAUUUGUAGUUAUUAGAGAAAUUAAACUCACCAGUAAGCAAAAGCAGGUGUAUUAUCUUAGCAGUAUAAUAUGAAUGUUAAUUUGGAGUUUGGUAAUCAGGGUUAUAUUGUCCACCUUGAAACCAUUUAUUGAUGCUUUAGGUUUGAAUACUAAAAACCUACAGCAUGAAUAUUUUUUAAAAAUCUCAGAUGCUUUACACUUGGUGGGUUUCAGAGCCCUCUGUGAAUUAUCUUAUAUCUCUAAGAUAAGCAUAGCUUUCACACUUAUUAUGUGGUAGAUGAAAGGGGUCAAGAACAACUAUCCCAGCCUGGAAAAAAAUAUGUUGGUUUUUUUUUUUUGUAAGGGGAAAAAACGACCUAGUUCCAGUGUUCCAAAUAAAGACAGGGAUUAUUCAAUACAAAUGCUGUUGGUAGUUGUUGGGUGGAGGUGAGCUGUACAAAGGUGAACCUUGUGUGUAUGCGGGUUGGGGUUGCCUUCUUUGUUCACUUGAUGUUAUAUCAUAAGAAUGUCUGUGUUGUAAUGUUGUAUACGGAAACAACGGUGCCAGGUAGAAGGUCAAUGUGCAAUGAAUAAAUAGGUUAUAGAAAAUCUACCAAAGUCAGAUGUUUCCAUCCAAACCAAGCUAUUAGUGUUCGGAAUUUGCAGUGACCUUCCAUCUUUCAGAUGGGGCUCUGGGGUUCACGGGGCACACAGAAAACGUCUGGGAGUCUGUAGACAGAAACUGCAGGCACGUCUCUUCUAUCACAAUUAAUGUCAGUAUUGCAUACAGUUUCUUGACAGCAUUUAUUAUAAUCAGCUUCUGUGGCUGUGGCUGCCAUGACCCCUGCCUUUCUCCCCUGUUCGAAAGGGAUCUGCUCAACAGGGUUAGCGUUAGUACAUGCUACUGUGUUCGUGCUGGCUUCCUUUGUGCUAUUGGUAAUUACUUGAUUGUCUCAACCACAAUGUGAUUUCCAACAUAAAAAAUCUAUAUAUCACGUGUGGGGAAAAGGAAUCAUGGUAUCGAGGUCUCAGAUUCCUAUCCUUUCAGUGUUGAUGAUCCUGAAGCAAUUUCAAGAAGGAUCACUUUGCUGGUUAUAAAAAUAAUGAUGCGGAAACUGGAUGACUCCCCCAUGCGUGGCCCAGAAGCCCUCCAGACAAAUAAGUGCAACGAUCCCUGUAACAUCUUCAUGAAACGGGUUUACUGCCCAGAACAAUUCGGCGUCUUCCAAGCGGCUUUUAGGACAACCUGAGCGAGCUGCGAUUUUAUUUGUUCACUUGUUUACUUGUUUGAGGGCAGAAGGAGCUUUCAUGGCCUGGGUGGUUCUUGACAGUCAGACCUAGAUCCUGACAGGCAAGGAUUUUGUUCUCUCUGUUUGGUGGCAUCAUUGUGACUUCCAAGAACAGAAAUACCUUGACCUCAGUGUUUUGGUGUUUUUUCUUUAAUGUUUAUUUAUUUUGUUACAGAGAAGGAGAGAGAGCAAGCCUGGAAGGGGCAGAGAGAGGGAGAGAGAAAUCCCAAGCGGGCUACACACUGUCAAUGCAGAGCCUGAUGUGGGGUUUGAAUCAUGACCUGAGCUGAAACCAAGAUUUGGAUGCUUAACCGACUGAGCCACCCAGGUGCUCUUUGACCUCAGUGUUUUAAGUGAGCAGAGGCCUGCUGCCACAUUUGGCCAAGUGGUGGCUAUUGCUCUCGGAUGUACCCUGAAAACACCAUCACAGUCAAUCAGUCCAUGAGCAGCCUGGCCUCUCAGGACUAGUCACUGGCGGGGCUGGGAAGACAACUGCCCCAUUAUGCUCACCACUGCUGAGUUGUACUGCACAACAAGCAAACAAAGCCCAGUUUCAUUUUCCUACCGAUCUGCAAUGUACCGUUCUAUCCACCUGCAUUAGGCACCAGAGAAUAAUAUAAAAUGGACUCUGAAUUUCUUUGGACUUUGAUCGCUUCUCUUCUGUACAGCCCUUGAACUCUUGGAACAGAAGCAUGAAGGACUAGGUAUUCUUUUAAUGUGGUCUGACCUUGUGGUGCCCCAGAAGUUAUCUCCAAAUAUUUUUCAAAAUGUCAAGCAGCGACGUCUAGAGCUCCUGUUUGCCUU
RNAcentral lists this long non-coding RNA (2817 nucleotides) under Lynx pardinus (Iberian lynx). The record is from RNAcentral. Lineage: Eukaryota; Metazoa; Chordata; Mammalia; Carnivora; Felidae.